GCCUUCUUGGCUCAGAUGGCAGAGCGUCUGCCUAGUAAGCAGAAGGUCACCAGUUCGAUUCUGGUAGAAGGCA
Molecule: transfer RNA, 73 nt
Organism: Smittium mucronatum
Lineage: Eukaryota; Fungi; Kickxellomycota; Harpellomycetes; Harpellales; Legeriomycetaceae
Rfam family: tRNA
About the family: Transfer RNA (tRNA) molecules are approximately 80 nucleotides in length. Their secondary structure includes four short double-helical elements and three loops (D, anti-codon, and T loops).
Source: Rfam